UCUAUAGCACACACACCAUCACAGAGACAAAACAACAUCAAAAACAACAUCAAACACCAUCAAGUACAAUUUCUACUCCAAGAAAAUUCAAUUUUGAAAAUAAAAAUUACCUCGAAAACAAAAAGCACGAUGAUGGAAACCUUUGCAGACCACGACCACGAUGAUGCACCCCCACUGCCACAAACGCUAUACCACGACCCACCACCCUGCCGGAAACACCACGUCACCAACGACCACACCUCCAUGGGAGACUCACCCUCGACACCACCAACCCUCAGCGCAGCAACCACUCGAACCCUAGCCCAAGACUCCCAAACCAGAACGCACCGUGAAGGAACCCUAUUCGAGAAUGACCACCACCAGGACUAUCCGAGAAAGUGAGAGAGGGUGAAGAAAAGGCGAGACGUGAAAAGGGAGGGAAUUNUCUGAAGGAAACGACGAACUCGACGAAGGCUGAAGAAAGUGAAAUUGGGGAACGAAAACCCCAACUGAGGUUUUAAAUCAGGGAGGAACUUACCGACGGCUCAAAAGCCUUCGGUAAGCAUAACAUUACCCACGGCCUCAAGGCCUUCGGUAAUAUGUCGUAGAUAAAUCGCGCUUUUCCU
RNAcentral lists this long non-coding RNA (605 nucleotides) under Vigna radiata. RNAcentral's name for it is "long non-coding RNA (VRAD_LNC004574)". The record is from RNAcentral. Lineage: Eukaryota; Viridiplantae; Streptophyta; Magnoliopsida; Fabales; Fabaceae.